This 492-nucleotide ribosomal RNA is filed under the name uncultured bacterium. RNAcentral describes it as "partial 16S ribosomal RNA". It matches the Rfam family "Bacterial small subunit ribosomal RNA", at positions 29 to 507 of the family's 1533-position model. The record is from RNAcentral.
AGUGAACGCUGGCGGUAGGCCUAACACAUGCAAGUCGAACGGCAGCACAGUAAGAGCUUGCUCUUACGGGUGGCGAGUGGCGGACGGGUGAGGAAUACAUCGGAAUCUACUUUUUCGUGGGGGAUAACGUAGGGAAACUUACGCUAAUACCGCAUACGACCUACGGGUGAAAGCAGGGGAUCUUCGGACCUUGCGCGUUUGAAUGAGCCGAUGUCGGAUUAGCUAGUUGGCGGGGUAAAGGACCACCAAGGCGACGAUCCGUAGCUGGUCUGAGAGGAUGAUCAGCCACACUGGAACUGAGACACGGUCCAGACUCCUACGGGAGGCAGCAGUGGGGAAUAUUGGACAAUGGGCGCAAGCCUGAUCCAGCCAUACCGCGUGGGUGAAGAAGGCCUUCGGGUUGUAAAGCCCUUUUGUUGGGAAAGAAAAGCAGCAGGUUAAUACCCCGCUGUUCUGACGGUACCCAAAGAAUAAGCACCGGCUAACUUCGUG